Molecule: ribosomal RNA, 581 nt
Filed under: uncultured bacterium
Lineage: Bacteria
Description: bacterial SSU rRNA
Rfam family: Bacterial small subunit ribosomal RNA
Source: RNAcentral
AAGGCUCGUGGGCUGUAAACUCCUUUUCCCAGAGAAGAAGUCUGACGGUAUUUGGGGAAUAAGCAUCAGCUAACUGCGUGCCAGCAGCUGCGGUAAUACGUGGGAUGCAAGCGUUAUCCGGAUUUAUUGGGCGUAAAGCGUCUGUAGGUGGCUUCUCAAGUUUGUUGUUAAAGAAUUCAGCUCAACUGGAUUUCAGCAUCAAAAACUAAUUAGCUCGAGUAAAGUAGAGGAAAAGGGAAUUCCCUGUGGAGCGGUGAAAUGCGUAGAGAUAGGGAAGAACACCAACGGCGAAGGCACUUUUCUGGGCAUUUACUGACACUGAGAGACGAAAGCUAGGGGAGCGAGUAGGAUUAGAUACCCUAUUAGUCCUAGCCGUAAACGAUGGAAACUACAUUUUGAUGGCGGAAGAUUGCAAAAUCUUGCUGAGGCAGAAUGGUAGCUAACGCGAUAAGUUUCCCGCCUGGGAAGUAUGCUCGCAAGAGUGAAACUCAAAGGAAUUGACGGGAGCCCGCACAAGCGGUGGAGCAUGUGGUUUAAUUCGAUGCAACACGAAGAACCUUACCAGGGCUUGACAUGUCGUA